Molecule: ribosomal RNA, 2807 nt
Filed under: Pseudothermotoga lettingae TMO
Lineage: Bacteria; Thermotogati; Thermotogota; Thermotogae; Thermotogales; Thermotogaceae
Description: bacterial LSU rRNA
Rfam family: Bacterial large subunit ribosomal RNA
Source: RNAcentral
AAGGUCAAGGUACUAAGGGCAUGCGGUGGAUGCCUUGGCGAUGGAAGGCGAUGAAGGGCGUGGUAAGCUGCGAUAAGCCUCGGGGAGCCGCAAACAGGCUUUGAUCCGGGGAUUCCCGAAUGGGGAAACCUGAUUGGUCGUAAGACCAGUCGCCGAAAGGUGCGAACCGGGGGAAGUGAAACAUCUCAGUACCCCGAGGAAAAGAAAUCAAACGAGAUUCCCUGAGUAGAGGCGAUCGAAAGGGGAAAAGCCUAAACCAGUGCGAUGUUCAAGCCCGUAGGCGUUGUUGCACUGGGGUUGUGGGACACAGUUGGGCGAGGCUACGGACUCGCCGGGGAGUUACAAAUCUUCUCCUUAGCUGAACCAUCUGGGAAGAUGGGCCGGAGAGGGUGACAGCCCCGUAAGCGAAAGGGAGAAGACUCCUUGAACUGUGUUCCCAAGUACCGCGGGACCCGGGAAAUCCUGCGGGAAUCUGGGGGGACCACCCUCCAAGGCUAAAUACUCUCCAUCGUCCGAUAGUGCACGAGUACCGUGAGGGAAAGGUGAAAAGAACCCCGGGAGGGGAGUGAAAUAGAACCUGAAACCGCAUGCCUACAAUAAGUCGGAGCCCGCAAGGGUGACGGCGUGCCUUUUGAUUAAUGAGUCCGCGAGUUGUCGUCAGUGGCAAGGUUAAGCCGGUAGAGGCGGAGCCGUAGCGAAAGCGAGUCCGAAUAGGGCGCAAGUCACUGGUGGCAGACCCGAAGCCGGGUGAGCUACCCCUGGGCAGGAUGAAGGUGGGCUAAACCCCACUGGAGGUCCGAACCGAUGGAUAGUGAAAAAUCCUCGGAUGACCUGGGGGUAGGAGUGAAAAGCUAACCGAACCCGGUGAUAGCUGGUUCUCCCCGAAACGCAUUGAGGUGCGGCCUCGAGUGGUCUGUGCAGGGGGUAGAGCACUGAUAGGGCUAGGGGGGUAACCUCCGAACCCUGUCAAACUCCGAAUCCCUGUACAUAAAACUCGGGAGGAAGUCUGUGGGGGAUAAGCUCCAUGGACAAAAGGGAAACAGCCCAGACCAUCGGCUAAGGGCCCAGAGAGAUGGCUAAGUGGGAAAGGAUGUGGUGCACCCCAGACAACUGGGAGGUUGGCUUAGAAGCAGCCAUCCUUUAAAGAGUGCGUAACAGCUCACCAGUCGAGGUGCACUGCGCCGAAGAUGUAACGGGGCUCAAGCCAUCCCCCGAAGCCAUGGGUCUGUACACUAUGUACAGGCGGUAGGGGAGCUUUCCGCUGUAGGGUGAAGGUAGACCCGUGAGGGCUACUGGACGAGGCGGAAGUGAGAAUGCGGACAUGAGUAUGCGAGAGGAGAGUGAGAAUCUCUCCCCCCGAAUGCCCAAGGGUACCUGGGGAAGGGUCGUCCUCCCAGGGUUAGUCGGUACCCUAAGGUGAACCCGAAAGGGAUAGCCGAAGGGAAGCUGGUUAAUAUUCCAGCACCACCUGUAAUCGAGGUGCGAGGGGUGACGCAGAAGGGUAAGCGCCGAGGGCAAGUGGCAUUCCCUUCCAAGCGGUUAGGGCGUUGAUGGGUGUAGGUAAAUCCGCACCUGGAGUCUGAGCCGUGAUGGGAAGGACCCGUGAGGGUCCAACGGCGUUGACCCCACGCUGCCAAGAAAAGCCUCGCGUACCGUUCGAGGUUGCAGGUGACCGUUCCGCAAACCGACACAGGUGGGCGAGCUGAGAAAGCUAAGGGGAGCGGGAUAACCCUCGCCAAGGAACUCGGCAAAUUAACCCCGUAACUUCGGGAGAAGGGGUGCAAAAUGGGAUAGCCUCAAUUGAGGUGAAUGAAGUAUUAACGAACGGUCCUAAGGUAGCGAAAUACCUUGCCAGGUAAGUUCUGGCCUGCAUGAAUGGCGUAACGACUGGGGCACUGUCUCGGCGAGGGACCCGGUGAAAUUUCAGUGUGGGUGAAGAUGCCCACAACCUGCGGCUAGACGGAAAGACCCCGUGGAGCUUUACUGCAACCUGGUAUUGGAUUCUGACACAUCGUGUACAGGAUAGGUGGGAGGCUGUGAACCCGGCUCGUCAGGGUCGGGGGAGCCGUCGGUGGGAUACCACCCUCGGUGUGUCGGAAUUCUAACCUGAACCUGUGAAGAGCAGGUUGGGAACAGUGCCAGGUGGGCAGUUUGACUGGGGCGGUCGCCUCCUAAAAUGUAACGGAGGCGCGCGAAGGUCGGCUCAGGUGGGUUGGAAAUCCACCGAAGAGUGUAAGGGCAUAAGCCGGCCUGACUGUGAGACCGACAGGUCGAGCAGAGACGAAAGUCGGCCCUAGUGACCCGGCGACUCCGAGUGGAAGGGUCGUCGACAACGGACAAAAGUUACCCCGGGGAUAACAGGCUAGUCUCGCCCGAGAGUUCACAUCGACGGCGAGGAUCGGCACCUCGAUGUCGGCUCAUCCCAUCCUGGGGCUGAAGCAGGUCCCAAGGGUUAGGCUGUCCGCCUAUUAAAGGGGUACGUGAGCUGGGUUCAGACCGUCGUAAGACAGGUCGGUCCCUAUCGGCCGCGGGCGCAGGAGGUUUGAGGGAGGUCUCCCCUUGUACGAGAGGACCGGGGAGAGUGGGCCUCUGGUGUACCGGCUGUCCUGCCAGGGGCAUACGCCGGGUAGCUAUGCCCAUAAGCGAUAACCGCUGAAGGCAUCUAAGCGGGAAGCGCGUCCCAAGAUUAGACCUCCCAUCCCUUAAGGGAGUAAGGCCGGUCCGAGAAUAGGACCUUGAUAGGCCGGUGGUGUAAGCAUCGUAAGGUGUUGAGCCAACCGGUACUAAUAGGCCGAGGCCUUGACCUU